RNAcentral lists this ribosomal RNA (406 nucleotides) under uncultured bacterium. Its description in RNAcentral is "partial 16S ribosomal RNA". It matches the Rfam family "Bacterial small subunit ribosomal RNA", at positions 30 to 526 of the family's 1533-position model. The record is from RNAcentral.
AUUGAACGCUGGCGGCAGGCCUAACACAUGCAAGUCGAACGAGUGGCGGACAGGUGAGUAAUGUGUGGGAAACUGCCUGAUGGAGGGGGAUAAAUACUGUAAACAGUAUCUAAUACCGCAUACCAUCAGAUGUGCCCAGAUGGGAUUAGCUAGUGGGUGGGGUAACGGCUCACCUAGGCGACGAUCCCUAGCUGGUCUGAGAGGAUGACCAGCCACACUGGAACUGAGACACGGUCCAGACUCCUACGGGAGGCAGCAGUGGGGAAUAUUGCACAAUGGGCGCAAGCCUGAUGCAGCCAUGCCGCGUGUAUGAAGAAGGCCUUCGGGUUGUAAAGUACUUUCAGCGGGGAGGCGUUACCCGCAGAAGAAGCACCGGCUAACUCCGUGCCAGCAGCCGCGGUAAUUC